GCCCGUGGUCGAGCCGCUCUUCAAGGUGCGGGACGACCCGC
Molecule: small RNA, 41 nt
Filed under: Curtobacterium sp. ER1/6
Lineage: Bacteria; Bacillati; Actinomycetota; Actinomycetes; Micrococcales; Microbacteriaceae
Description: mini-ykkC RNA motif
Source: RNAcentral